RNAcentral lists this signal recognition particle RNA (90 nucleotides) under marine eukaryotic metagenome. RNAcentral's name for it is "Bacterial small signal recognition particle RNA". It matches the Rfam family "Bacterial small signal recognition particle RNA". From Rfam's summary of the family: The signal recognition particle (SRP) is a universally conserved ribonucleoprotein involved in the co-translational targeting of proteins to membranes. Archaeal SRP consists of a 7S RNA and homologues of the eukaryotic SRP19 and SRP54 proteins. The record is from RNAcentral.
UGGUCCCUUUGCGACAUGAAAUAGCAAACCCCGCCAGGUCCGGAAGGAAGCAACGGUAGCUUGAUCUGCGUGUGCCGUAGGGUGCCUGGC